AACUUCCGUUAAUUGAUUAUGANGUGCUUGCACUGAAUGAGAUUUUAACACGAAGUGAGUGGCGGACGGGUGAGUAACACGUGGGUAACCUGCCCAGAAGCAGGGGAUAACACCUGGAAACAGAUGCUAAUACCGUAUAACAGAGAAAACCGCCUGGUUUUCUUUUAAAAGAUGGCUCUGCUAUCACUUCUGGAUGGACCCGCGGCGCAUUANCUAGUUGGUGAGGUAACGGCUCACCAAGGCGAUGAUGCGUAGCCGACCUGAGAGGGUAAUCGGCCACAUUGGGACUGAGACACGGCCCAGACUCCUACGGGAGGCAGCAGUAGGGAAUCUUCCACAAUGGACGCAAGUCUGAUGGAGCAACGCCGCGUGAGUGAAGAAGGGUUUCGGCUCGUAAAGCUCUGUUGUUAAAGAAGAACGUGGGUGAGAGUAACUGUUCACCCNNNGACGGUAUUUAACCAGAAAGCCACGGCUAACUACGUGCCAGCAGCCGCGGUAAUACGUAGGUGGCAAGCGUUAUCCGGAUUUAUUGGGCGUAAAGCGAGCGCAGGCGGUCUUUUAAGUCUAAUGUGAAAGCCUUCGGCUCAACCGAAGAAGUGCAUUGGANACUGGGAGACUUGAGUGCAGAAGAGGACAGUGGAACUCCAUGUGUAGCGGUGAAAUGCGUAGAUAUAUGGAAGAACACCAGUGGCGAANGNGGCUGUCUGGUCUGUAACUGANGCUNAGGCUCGAAAGCAUGGGUAGCGAACAGGAUUAGAUACCCUGGUAGUCNNUGCC
This 777-nucleotide ribosomal RNA is filed under the name Pediococcus acidilactici. RNAcentral's name for it is "bacterial SSU rRNA". It matches the Rfam family "Bacterial small subunit ribosomal RNA", at positions 52 to 801 of the family's 1533-position model. The record is from RNAcentral. RNAcentral also lists the same sequence under 1 other name. Lineage: Bacteria; Bacillati; Bacillota; Bacilli; Lactobacillales; Lactobacillaceae.